RNAcentral lists this unclassified non-coding RNA (309 nucleotides) under plant metagenome. Its description in RNAcentral is "partial contains 5.8S ribosomal RNA, internal transcribed spacer 2, and large subunit ribosomal RNA". The stretch from base 1 to 105 matches the Rfam family "5.8S ribosomal RNA", at positions 50 to 154 of the family's 154-position model. The record is from RNAcentral.
GAAAUGCGAUAAGUAAUGUGAAUUGCAGAAUUCAGUGAAUCAUCGAAUCUUUGAACGCACAUUGCGCCCGCCAGUAUUCUGGCGGGCAUGCCUGUUCGAGCGUCAUUUCAACCAUCAAGCCCCCGGGCUUGUGUUGGGGACCUGCGGCUGCCGCAGGCCCCGAAAACCAGUGGCGGGCUCGCUGUCACACCGGGCGUAGUAGAUUUUUCGUCUCGCCCAGGGCGUGCUGCGGGUUCCGGCCGUUAAAAAGCCUCUCUUUUAACCCAAGGUUGACCUCGGAUCAGGUAGGAAGGCCCGCUGAACUUAAGC